CUACACCCCCUUGCCAUACCCCCACCCACCUACAAAUAUAGAUAGAUAGAUAUAGAGAGAGUCUCUCUGUCAAGUAGAAGAGAGAAGAGAAAAUUUCUUUGGGAUAAUAGGGUUGCAGAAUAUGCAGAGGCUGGCCCUUGUCAUACUUUUCCACAGCUUUCUUGAACUGCAUAUAAUUGUAUGGACAAAACCCAUUUGCAGUUCAAUUAAGCUGUGGGAAGAUAUGGAGAGAGUCAUAUGGGAAUUCAUUUUCAGGAUCAGAUUCACUACAGCAUGGUAUUUUUAGACAAUAUUGUUUUCUGCCCAGUGGAUCUUCAUUAUAAUUUCAUUUCUAUGUUAAUUUCAUGCUGAUUUUAUCUUUUUACAUACAUGAUUAGUUUUCUUCUAUUGGAUAUUCAUUUCUAUGUUAAAUUGAAUGGGAUGUUACCUUUCUACUUGCAUGAUUGUGUAACUGUUUACAGAUCUACUGACAACCUUCUCGAAAUUACUGUGUUUCAUAUGGUGAAACCCAAGAGACAUUGACUAUUGUGUUUUGGCUGUUUGUAGAUGCACUUUUGUCUAUAUUAUUUUGUAGAUUUAAAUGAAUCUGUUUUAAAAAAUCACAGAGAUAACAAUUCUUUGAAAUCAUGCUAUUUUGCAUCCAGAUCUCUGCAUUCAAUGAGGAAGUAAUAAGUUUUCAACAAUUACUCGAAAUCUCCCAAUUAUCGUAUUUUCCAGCAGUCACUAGUAUUCCCCUCGUUUUAACUUAAGAAGUUUUUAGCAACCUUUUCUAUGCAUACUUCCAUUUUCUAUUUUCAGUAUAAGCAAAAGAUUAAGAGUAAGUUUUCUGUAUAUUUCUUUAUUAGUCAUGUUUUAAUUAGGAAAAAAGGGUUUCCAUAUACAAUGUUUCUGAAUAAUUUCGAGUUACAGAAUGUUAUGUGGACCACAGGUUUAAUUGCAUUAUCUUCCUCAUAUGCAACACGUCUCCCUCCACACAAACUGUAAUUUAAACAGCCAUUUAUGUAAAUUUUUUAAAGUAUGCCUUAAGAAGAGGACGCAAAAAAGUUGUCAUCCAGUCUAUUGAAGGGUGGUCCAAAUCCUGCAAAUUUCACCUUGGCAAAGAAAAAAACAGUCAUAAUUUUGCAGAAGUAAACUAGGGCUUCCCAUUCACUAUGAUAUGGACUUCAAUGUAAAGAAGAAACAUAGAAUUACAGUGCAUUCUUGUUCAGCCGUGCUUAGAUUUUUAAUGUUGAUUGUAUCUCGAAUGGAGCUAUCGUUCUUAGGAUCUGCGUUUUUCAAUUACAGAACAUUUCCGAACAUGGACCAGCACCACCGGCUA
This 1318-nucleotide long non-coding RNA is filed under the name Olea europaea subsp. europaea. The stretch from base 139 to 230 matches the Rfam family "MIR396 microRNA precursor family". Lineage: Eukaryota; Viridiplantae; Streptophyta; Magnoliopsida; Lamiales; Oleaceae. The record is from RNAcentral.